This 1642-nucleotide long non-coding RNA is filed under the name Homo sapiens (human). Its description in RNAcentral is "HSALNT0048207". Lineage: Eukaryota; Metazoa; Chordata; Mammalia; Primates; Hominidae. The record is from RNAcentral.
CACAAUUCCUUAUAUCCCCCUAGCACUGUAAACAAUUAUCUUUUUAUCCUUAAAACUCAUGAAGGAUCUCAUUAAACACAUCCAUUUUUAUUGUUCGUUAAAAGGAUCAGGAAAUAUGCACAUGCAUUUUUAUUAAUAGACCAGAACAUAAUUUCCAAAUAAUCUUGACUAUUUCUCUCUCUACUGUCAACAGCCAGCAUGCUCGUUCCUGUGCAUGCUGGUGAAACAGACGUGGCCUGCCCUGCCUUUCUCCAAUCUCUCUCCCGCAGCCCAGCCCAGCCCAGCCUGGUUUAAUAGCAGGGGGAGUUGGCACCGUUCACAGCUGGUUAACACCCUACUGAGCAGGUCUGUUGAUUUUGCAUUAUGAUUACUGACCCUGCCAGUCCCUCUGCCCAGCCAAUAGCCUGAGGGGAAAGUUUUUGUGUGUGAAAAGAAGAGCUGACCAAGUAUAGCCAAACCGUGCCAGACAGACGCCACGAGCUGUCCUCUGCAGGGCCGCCUCUGCCCGUGUCUGCCUUAAGCAACCAACCAUGUGCCCUGGCACCAUGCCCUCCAGUGAAGAAGAAUGACACCCAUGGACUGCUUUGCGGGAUGCCCCCGCCUGCCCCGCCCUGAAGCUGCUGUCACCACCCUUGGACAUCAAAGAAAUCUCACUGCAGCUGCCACUUCCUAUCCCUCAACUCCCGUCCAGAGACACAUCACUAGUCUAGACAUGUAAGCCAGCCACCCGUUUUUGAUUUUCUGGAUGACAGCAAGCAUACAGAUUACUAACUCUGACAAAGACGGUGCAGUGAGGGCUCUCUGGUACAUUUGAGAAUAAAUAAUAUGGUUUUGAAUGCAGAAAGACUGAGAAAACUUCACUAUUCAUGUAAGAAAAAUAGGCUCCACGGGAUCCCUUGAUCAGGAUGGUGGUAGAGGAAAUGAACUUCCAUCAGCACUGUAAUGAUCUCAGCCUUCUCCACCACCCCACGAAGUUUCUCAUAGCAAGCCACAUCUUACUCAUCUCUACAUUCCUAGGAGGGGGGACAAGUUCACAGUGUUGGGGAGAGGAAAGUGUCCUCUUAGCUGCCUCCCAUGACUUCAGGGGCCCAUUUGAUGAUAAUAGGACACUCUCUGGACAAAGCCUGCAGAUGGAUUUGAUCAAGCAAGAGAGCUGAGGAUGAAUGCGAAAAAAAAAAAAGUGGUCCUGAUGGCUCCUUGACCAUGAAAUAAAGGUCAUCAAUGAGGGAAGACAGGAGACUCCAGGAGCACAGAGACAGUGACAAAGCAAUGGAUAAAGGAAUUGUGGGUACCAGUGAGAUGGAAGGAUUAUGGGAUUUGGAGUCCUAGGGACAAAGAUGGAAAGACUGGAGGGUGCUUGGAGAGGAACUGUGAUUGGUGAUGUCAAGAUCAAGAGUACUGUCUUACAGGGGAACCAGUGACAGAGGUCAAGAAGAAGAUGAGACCACUGCAAUGGUAAUUUCAUGACAUGUACAGGUGUUGAUAAUUCCUUUGUGCUGGACAAGGUAAAACAAAGAGGGGUGAUGACUUUGAAAUGUUCUUAAUAAAAAAUUCCAGCAAUAACGUCUGUCUGCAACUCAUUGGACAAAAGCAUCCAGCUCCUCAGAGCAUCUGACUUCUUUUCUGAUAACAUGAAGAUAAA